RNAcentral lists this long non-coding RNA (624 nucleotides) under Pan troglodytes (chimpanzee). RNAcentral's name for it is "long non-coding RNA NONPTRT009842". Lineage: Eukaryota; Metazoa; Chordata; Mammalia; Primates; Hominidae. The record is from RNAcentral.
UCGGGGAGGAGGAGCCGGCAGCUGGCCCCAAGUGCAGAAAGCCCAGAGCCUUGGACCCGGCCCAGGGAAGUGGAGCAGAAGAAAUUGGAUUGGAAGGUGGUGGGGAGGGCCCAUAUGGCACAGUCCUCCUCCCAUCCCAGGACGUCGUCCGUGCUCACCGUGUCCUGCCCCCUGCCUCACCCUGUGCCAGCCACAGCUGAUGGUCCCCCUGGGACGUGGGCGUGGGCAGGGGUGCACUGGCUGGGAGAGGCUGUGUCUUCCGGCCCCUCAUAUUGUGCCUUCUCUGAGCUAGGCAGGCACUUGGAUGCCAGGCCUCUGCCACGAGGGCUGCCUUCCCCUGAGCUGGGAGUUCUCACUCAGCUCAUGUCUCCGUCCCUCUGGCUGCAGCCUGGCCGCCCUCCUUGGAAGUUGGCGGGGAACCUCCUGUGCCCAGAGCCUGCCUUGGACACGGUUUGGGGAUGAGGUGGUGAGCUGCUCAGAACUCACCCAGUGGCCAGCAAGGGGCCCCCCAGCCUUGACCUCCCUUCUCUGAGGCAGAUCCAGGGAAGGACCCUGCACUGUUCUGGGCUCCCCCAGCCACAGGUGUGGCCUCAAGCCAGGCCCUGACACAGUGGCCCUCUUGGC